This 73-nucleotide transfer RNA is filed under the name Phycisphaeraceae bacterium TMED231. Its description in RNAcentral is "tRNA-Thr". It matches the Rfam family "tRNA". From Rfam's summary of the family: Transfer RNA (tRNA) molecules are approximately 80 nucleotides in length. RNAcentral also lists the same sequence under 4 other names. The record is from RNAcentral. Lineage: Bacteria; Pseudomonadati; Planctomycetota; Phycisphaerae; Phycisphaerales; Phycisphaeraceae.
GCCACCUUAGCUCAGCUGGUAGAGCAGCUGAUUUGUAAUCAGCAGGUCGCCGGUUCGAUCCCGGCAGGUGGCU